CGAAGGGGUGCCUAUACAUGCAAGUCGAACGAACUCUGGUAUUGAUUGGUGCUUGCAUCAUGAUUUACAUUUGAGUGAGUGGCGAACUGGUGAGUAACACGUGGGAAACCUGCCCAGAAGCGGGGGAUAACACCUGGAAACAGAUGCUAAUACCGCAUAACAACUUGGACCGCAUGGUCCGAGUUUGAAAGAUGGCUUCGGCUAUCACUUUUGGAUGGUCCCGCGGCGUAUUAGCUAGAUGGUGGGGUAACGGCUCACCAUGGCAAUGAUACGUAGCCGACCUGAGAGGGUAAUCGGCCACAUUGGGACUGAGACACGGCCCAAACUCCUACGGGAGGCAGCAGUAGGGAAUCUUCCACAAUGGACGAAAGUCUGAUGGAGCAACGCCGCGUGAGUGAAGAAGGGUUUCGGCUCGUAAAACUCUGUUGUUAAAGAAGAACAUAUCUGAGAGUAACUGUUCAGGUAUUGACGGUAUUUAACCAGAAAGCCACGGCUAACUACGUGCCAGCAGCCGCGGUAAUACGUAGGUGGCAAGCGUUGUCCGGAUUUAUUGGGCGUAAAGCGAGCGCAGGCGGUUUUUUAAGUCUGAUGUGAAAGCCUUCGGCUCAACCGAAGAAGUGCAUCGGAAACUGGGAAACUUGAGUGCAGAAGAGGACAGUGGAACUCCAUGUGUAGCGGUGAAAUGCGUAGAUAUAUGGAAGAACACCAGUGGCGAAGGCGGCUGUCUGGUCUGUAACUGACGCUGAGGCUCGAAAGUAUGGGUAGCAAACAGGAUUAGAUACCCUGGUAGUCCAUACCGUAAACGAUGAAUGCUAAGUGUUGGAGGGUUUCCGCCCUUCAGUGCUGCAGCUAACGCAUUAAGCAUUCCGCCUGGGGAGUACGGCCGCAAGGCUGAAACUCAAAGGAAUUGACGGGGGCCCGCACAAGCGGUGGAGCAUGUGGUUUAAUUCGAAGCUACGCGAAGAACCUUACCAGGUCUUGACAUACUAUGCAAAUCUAAGAGAUUAGACGUUCCCUUCGGGGACAUGGAUACAGGUGGUGCAUGGUUGUCGUCAGCUCGUGUCGUGAGAUGUUGGGUUAAGUCCCGCAACGAGCGCAACCCUUAUUAUCAGUUGCCAGCAUUAAGUUGGGCACUCUGGUGAGACUGCCGGUGACAAACCGGAGGAAGGUGGGGAUGACGUCAAAUCAUCAUGCCCCUUAUGACCUGGGCUACACACGUGCUACAAUGGAUGGUACAACGAGUUGCGAACUCGCGAGAGUAAGCUAAUCUCUUAAAGCCAUUCUCAGUUCGGAUUGUAGGCUGCAACUCGCCUACAUGAAGUCGGAAUCGCUAGUAAUCGCGGAUCAGCAGCCU
Molecule: ribosomal RNA, 1354 nt
Filed under: Lactiplantibacillus plantarum
Lineage: Bacteria; Bacillati; Bacillota; Bacilli; Lactobacillales; Lactobacillaceae
Description: bacterial SSU rRNA
Rfam family: Bacterial small subunit ribosomal RNA
Source: RNAcentral